Long non-coding RNA from Solea senegalensis (Senegalese sole), 439 nucleotides. RefSeq lists it as uncharacterized. The transcript is spliced from 2 exons. The record is from RefSeq and is a predicted model, not a curated record. Lineage: Eukaryota; Metazoa; Chordata; Actinopteri; Pleuronectiformes; Soleidae.
GGUGUUAUCAGCUUCACAUGGUUCGCGAGCUGCAGCGGCUGCAUUAUAGGACAUUUAAGGAUUUAGUAGGUGACUCAGUGGAAAUGUAACUGCAAUGGAGAACCCAUGUGUCUGUGUGUGUGUGUGUAAUUGUACAGUAACUCCACAGCAGAGUGAAAGAUGCAGACGGAGUGGUGCCUUCUUAAUCUGUAUGUGAUAACAGAGAGAGAACAGUGGAAUCCCAGAAUGAUCCCUGUUUUGUGGAUGAAGUCUUUUUACAGCGGCAUGACUGACGUGUGCCGAGGACAGCUGUUACAUGGAACCAUAGGCUGCAGCUGAAGUAUCCUGCUCGUGCUUAAACAGUCACCACCAUAUGUCAGUCUGACAUGUUUUCAUGGCGGGGUUUUUUUGUCGAUUCACGUCUAAAUGCCACGUGAGAUUAAACGAUACAAACCUCAAA